This 253-nucleotide unclassified non-coding RNA is filed under the name uncultured Actinomycetes bacterium. RNAcentral's name for it is "uncultured actinobacterium contains 16S-23S intergenic spacer region". It matches the Rfam family "Bacterial small subunit ribosomal RNA", at positions 524 to 776 of the family's 1533-position model. The record is from RNAcentral. Lineage: Bacteria; Bacillati; Actinomycetota; Actinomycetes.
UACGGAGGGUGCAAGCGUUGUCCGGAUUUACUGGGCGUAAAGGGCUCGUAGGCGGUUUGUCGCGUCGGUCGUGGAAAUGUCUGGCUUAACUGGGCACGUGCGGCCGAUACGGGCAGACUCGAGGGCGGUAGGGGCAAGCGGAAUUCCUGGUGUAGCGGUGAAAUGCGCAGAUAUCAGGAGGAACACCGAUGGCGAAGGCAGCUUGCUGGGCCGUUCCUGACGCUGAGGAGCGAAAGCGUGGGUAGCGAACAGG